Molecule: non-coding RNA, 484 nt
Organism: Pelobates cultripes (western spadefoot toad)
Lineage: Eukaryota; Metazoa; Chordata; Amphibia; Anura; Pelobatidae
Source: the annotation of a GenBank genome assembly
GUCACCCUACAAUCAUGCUUCCAUUUAGUGAAUCUUGGAGCCAGCACAGUUGUUAUGUAGGAAAUCAAUUACAAGUAUUCAUUGCAGCACAUUAUGGUAUGCCAAUUGCAAUUACAAAAAAAUCUGCACCGGCCUCUGAACUGCUUGUAUCAGUUUCAAUGCUACCUGCAACAAAUUCUGUACAACUAGCACAAGCUCUCACGUCACCAUUGUCAAAUUCAGCAGGCACAUGACCUACAACUCCAUUAGUCUAGACAUCUUGUCAGUAUUUCUCUAAUUAUAAUGAUGCACAGGAAGAACCUAGGAAGGCUGAGAGUGCAGUUAAAGGUCUACAAAAGGUAGCUCAAAUAUAUUAAGAGCAGUUGAUCAUUAUGUUGCACCAUCUAGACAUGAUCAGAAUCACUUACAUGAAAGCUCAUGGGAUACUCAGCACUGAAAUUUAAACCUAAAAAUGGAUAAUGUUAAAUGAUAUGAGAAAUGAGGG